GUUAGUGGUUUAUAACAAUGAUUUUGUUUGUUUGUUUGUUUUUGUAAUGAAUCGCCAGAUCGAUGUCAGAUUUUAUGUGCCUUAACUGCUGUUAGAUGCGUCGUCUAAAGACAACCUAUUAAGCAAAUGAGCUAGCAGUAGAGCUAAGCCAUCUUUUACAUAUAGCUUAAAAGGCAGUAGAAUCUAAAAUCAAUAUUCUUCCUGUUUGACGUUUAGCAACUCGUGGCUUAUACAAAAAAUUCUUUUUUCCCCCUUGAAUGGCUAGACAUCAACUUAAAAAUGGGGAAUACAUCUGGUUGGCUAUUGUUAUGUUUAAUCGAAUAUGGAAAUUUGAGUUCUUUCAUUCAUUCUGCUGGGGCUUAUUCAUGAGCUGCAAAACUUUUUUGGGUGAUGCGGUCAUGCUAUGCAGGUGAGGCAUUCGUCCUCAAGGCAAAAAGGUGCCGCACGACUCCAACAAAGUACAGCGCUAUGCAGUUUGUUUGUAAACGUAUUUAGUCUUCCACCAGUAAAAAAAAAGUAAUCGUAUGUGCGUAAAAAGCUCAGAUGGGUUCCUUUGCCACCUACGAUUCAUCCUAGUUCAAUUUUCAUAUUCAAUGUGAUACAAGUUGAAUCGUGAAAAUGUUCUGUCCGGUUCCCGCAGCGCACUGAGAGUUUUCUAGGGUACCUAGUCUAACACAGACAUACAGACACAUUAAAGAGGAGCCAAGAUAAUGCAACAAAAACAAUACUAUUCAAAAGAGACAAAAAAAAUUUGUUCCAACCAAAUUUUUAUAGAAAUUGGUCCAUAUACUGCAUUGGCAGUGAAAAGCAUGACAAAAACUGGGUAAGAUAGAUUCAAAUUUAUGAGGAACUGCGAAAUAAUUUGAUGAUUUGGCUCUAGGAGGGAGCAUGUUCAACACUUAUCCAGCAACAUACCACUGGAAACGAAAAAAAAAACAAAAAAACAAAAAGAACAGAAGAGACUCAAGGAAUCGUAACUAUUUCGUAGUUUCGAAAAUGUUAGCAAAAUAGGAAGAAAGAGAUAGUUUGACAGGAAUGUCCAGAUAGCGCUCGGUUCGUAGCUUCAAAAACAGGACGAACAAAUCAAACAUAAAAUCACAGAACGGUUUUCGGAGGAAAACAAAAAUAGAGGGAAACGCAAACAUAACAGCGAGUCUAUCGCAAAAAAAUAUCAGGCAGCAGACCGGAGCUUUCUUCCGAUUAAACAAUUGGGAGAACCGUAUCUCUGACUACAGCGAUACAAGCACCAGCACGUCCAGAUGGAAGUGGUGCAAACUGCGAUCGAAUUAAACAAUAAAUUGGAAAUCAGACCAGAAAACGAAAUCUCACCAAAAAGAAGAAACUAUUCUUACCUGUUGCCACAAAUUUGUAAGAGGGUCGUACGCUUCAACGAAGUUGAGAUAAGCUUGACCAUCGAAUCCACCAACAAUGAACAACCUAUCACCCAUAAAGGCUACACCCAUUGCAUCGCGACCGUUCUUCAUUGAAGUCACUAUCAUCCAGGAGUCUGACAGCGGAUCAUACCUUCAAAAGAAAAAUCCAGGUAAAAGAGACGAAAACACGUCGAACAACGGUAAUAGGAUAAAACCCGAACCUUUCAACACAAUCAAAUCGGGCCGCUGAUGGAUUUGAAGCGGGUGCGUCGUGACCACCAAAAGCAUAGAGAAAUCCAUGCGCUACGGCAACACCUACUCCACCUCGUCGUUUGCUCAUCGGAGCUACCAAUGUCCAACGAUUGGUGUGUGGAUCAUAGCACUCGACUGUGCGAAGACAAGAACUCCCAUCUCGGCCACCCACAGCGUAGAGCCUACAAUCAUACUGCUGCAACACCAACGGUGGAGCGCUGACUAUUCAUUGGAGCCACAAAGCUCCACUGGCGGGUGACAGGAUCCCAGCGUUCAACACUAUUGAGGUAUGACCAACCAUCAUGGCCUCCUACUGCAUACAAUGGUCCUUCAAGGCUGGCUACGCCCAGUCCUUUGUAGGCGAAAAAUAAAAAGUCAUGACAGUGAACUAGAAAAUGCAACCAAAUUCUAAGAAAAAUAGGUACCAUGACGAUGCGUUGCCAUAGGGGGCAUACUGCUCCAUACUGCAUAAAAAAUAGAAUGAAUAUUAGCAUUCAAAGUUUUCAGUUUUUUUUCACCUAUAACACAAUGAUUGGCCGUGUUGGUGAGAUGUAACUAACGGCGCAAAGAAAUUAACACCAACACCGUGAAAUCUCGCUACUAAGGUAUACGAAUAUUACUAGCCUUUGGUCCAUGGAUCCCAGCAUUCCACCUGGAUCGUUAAAACAUACGCGUUAAGAUAGAUUCACACAUGGCCAAAUGUAACGUACC
Molecule: long non-coding RNA, 2336 nt
Organism: Daphnia magna
Lineage: Eukaryota; Metazoa; Arthropoda; Branchiopoda; Diplostraca; Daphniidae
Exons: 4
Source: RefSeq, a predicted model, not a curated record